CAGUCGGUAGAGCAUGGGAC
This 20-nucleotide non-coding RNA is filed under the name Gallus gallus (chicken). The record is from RNAcentral. RNAcentral also lists the same sequence under 1 other name. Lineage: Eukaryota; Metazoa; Chordata; Aves; Galliformes; Phasianidae.